Molecule: ribosomal RNA, 253 nt
Filed under: uncultured bacterium
Lineage: Bacteria
Description: partial 16S ribosomal RNA
Rfam family: Bacterial small subunit ribosomal RNA
Source: RNAcentral
UACGUAGGGUGCGAGCGUUGUCCGGAAUUAUUGGGCGUAAAGAGCUCGUAGGCGGUGUGUCGCGUCGGCCGUGAAAACUUGCAGCUUAACUGUGGGCGUGCGGUCGAUACGGGCAUCACUGGAGUUCGGCAGGGGAGACUGGAAUUCCUGGUGUAGCGGUGAAAUGCGCAGAUAUCAGGAGGAACACCGGUGGCGAAGGCGGGUCUCUGGGCCGAUACUGACGUGAGGAGCGAAAGCGUGGGGAGCGAACAGG